UACGAAGGGGGCUAGCGUUACUCGGAUUGACUGGGCGUAAAGGGCGCGUAGGCGGAUGGUACAGUCAGACGUGAAAUUCCUGGGCUCAACCUGGGGGCUGCGUUUGAUACGUGCUGUCUGGAGUUCGGAAGAGGGUCGUGGAAUUCCCAGUGUAGAGGUGAAAUUCGUAGAUAUUGGGAGGAACACCAGUGGCGAAGGCGGCUCACUGGACCGGAACUGACGCUGAGGCGCGAAAGCGUGGGGAGCAAACAGG
RNAcentral lists this ribosomal RNA (253 nucleotides) under uncultured bacterium. RNAcentral's name for it is "partial 16S ribosomal RNA". It matches the Rfam family "Bacterial small subunit ribosomal RNA", at positions 524 to 776 of the family's 1533-position model. The record is from RNAcentral.